Molecule: ribosomal RNA, 1343 nt
Filed under: uncultured bacterium
Lineage: Bacteria
Description: 16S ribosomal RNA
Rfam family: Bacterial small subunit ribosomal RNA
Source: RNAcentral
GACGAACGCUGGCGGCGUGCUUAACACAUGCAAGUCGAACGGAAAGGCCCUGCUUUUGUGGGGUGCUCGAGUGGCGAACGGGUGAGUAACACGUGAGUAACCCGCCCUUGACUUUGGGAUAACUUCAGGAAACUGGGGCUAAUACCGGAUAGGAGCUCCUGCUGCAUGGUGGGGGUUGGAAAGUUUCGGCGGUUGGGGAUGGACUCGCGGCUUAUCAGCUUGUUGGUGGGGUAGUGGCUUACCAAGGCUUUGACGGGUAGCCGGCCUGAGAGGGUGACCGGCCACAUUGGGACUGAGAUACGGCCCAGACUCCUACGGGAGGCAGCAGUGGGGAAUAUUGCACAAUGGGCGGAAGCCUGAUGCAGCAACGCCGCGUGCGGGAUGACGGCCUUCGGGUUGUAAACCGCUUUCGCCUGUGACGAAGCGUGAGUGACGGUAAUGGGUAAAGAAGCACCGGCUAACUACGUGCCAGCAGCCGCGGUGAUACGUAGGGUGCGAGCGUUGUCCGGAUUUAUUGGGCGUAAAGGGCUCGUAGGUGGUUGAUCGCGUCGGAAGUGUAAUCUUGGGGCUUAACCCUGAGCGUGCUUUCGAUACGGGUUGACUUGAGGAAGGUAGGGGAGAAUGGAAUUCCUGGUGGAGCGGUGGAAUGCGCAGAUAUCAGGAGGAACACCAGUGGCGAAGGCGGUUCUCUGGGCCUUUCCUGACGCUGAGGAGCGAAAGCGUGGGGAGCGAACAGGCUUAGAUACCCUGGUAGUCCACGCUGUAAACGGUGGGUACUAGGUGUGGGGUCCAUUCCACGGGUUCCGUGCCGUAGCUAACGCUUUAAGUACCCCGCCUGGGGAGUACGGCCGCAAGGCUAAAACUCAAAGGAAUUGACGGGGCCCCGCACAAGCGGCGGAGCAUGCGGAUUAAUUCGAUGCAACGCGUAGAACCUUACCUGGGUUUGACAUGGAUCGGGAGCGCUCAGAGAUGGGUGUGCCUCUUUUGGGGUCGGUUCACAGGUGGUGCAUGGCUGUCGUCAGCUCGUGUCGUGAGAUGUUGGGUUAAGUCCCGCAACGAGCGCAACCCUUGUUCACUGUUGCCAGCACGUUAUGGUGGGGACUCAGUGGAGACCGCCGGGGUCAACUCGGAGGAAGGUGGGGAUGACGUCAAGUCAUCAUGCCCCUUAUGUCCAGGGCUUCACGCAUGCUACAAUGGCUGGUACAGAGAGUGGCGAGCCUGUGAGGGUGAGCGAAUCUCGGAAAGCCGGUCUCAGUUCGGAUUGGGGUCUGCAACUCGACCUCAUGAAGUCGGAGUCGCUAGUAAUCGCAGAUCAGCAACGCUGCGGUGAAUACGUUCCCGGG